Molecule: ribosomal RNA, 327 nt
Filed under: uncultured eukaryote
Lineage: Eukaryota
Description: partial 18S ribosomal RNA
Rfam family: Eukaryotic small subunit ribosomal RNA
Source: RNAcentral
CCCUUAGAUGUUCUGGGCCGCACGCGCGCUACACUGACGAAUGCAACGAGCUUAUAACCUUGGCCGUAAGGUCUGGGUAAUCUCCAAAUUUCGUCGUGAUGGGGAUAGAUUAUUGCAAUUAUUAAUCUUCAACGAGGAAUGCCUAGUAAGCGCAAGUCAUCAGCUUGCGUUGAUUACGUCCCUGCCCUUUGUACACACCGCCCGUCGCUCCUACCGAUUGAAUGGUCCGGUGAAGCGUUCGGACCGUGGCCUUUGGACGGUUCGCCGUCUGUUGGCUGCGGGAAGUUCGUUAAACCUUAUCAUUUAGAGGAAGGAGAAGUCGUAACA